Molecule: long non-coding RNA, 458 nt
Organism: Cervus elaphus (red deer)
Lineage: Eukaryota; Metazoa; Chordata; Mammalia; Artiodactyla; Cervidae
Exons: 3
Source: RefSeq, a predicted model, not a curated record
CUCGGCCACCUGAUUCUUGCAGACAUGGAGGACUUCCGCAGGCUCGGGCCUCACCUUCUCCACCGUGGCCUCAAAAGCUCCUUGCUCGUCCGAAAGGCAUAGCAACAAUCACGUGACCUGGAGCCCCAGGUUUCCAAGCAGCCAACCCGCAUGAACACAGGCGCAGUUCCCAGGCACGGAGGACGCAAACAGGCUGGCGGCUCAUUAAACGUGGGUCCCAGGAGACAGAGACAGAGAAACUCCGCCUAUGAGUGAAAGUUCUGAAGUCCAGAGAAAGAAGGUGAUUCUUUCAGAGCUGCAGCCAGCGAGAGCGCACAGACCUGGACUUCUGACACCCAGCCCCCAUGACCCCAAUGCUACCGCACACAUUCUGACACCAUACCCCUAUUCUGUCUGAAGUGAAACUUCUUGUGAUUGCUUUGGGAAAUGAUAACUUUAUUAAAUCUGAGUUAGCUGUG